This 637-nucleotide ribosomal RNA is filed under the name Escherichia coli. RNAcentral's name for it is "partial 23S ribosomal RNA". It matches the Rfam family "Bacterial large subunit ribosomal RNA", at positions 555 to 1194 of the family's 2925-position model. Lineage: Bacteria; Pseudomonadati; Pseudomonadota; Gammaproteobacteria; Enterobacterales; Enterobacteriaceae. The record is from RNAcentral.
ACCGUGUACGUACAAGCAGUGGGAGCCUCUUAAUGGGGUGACUGCGUACCUUUUGUAUAAUGGGUCAGCGACUUAUAUUCUGUAGCAAGGUUAACCGAAUAGGGGAGCCGAAGGGAAACCGAGUCUUAACUGGGCGUUAAGUUGCAGGGUAUAGACCCGAAACCCGGUGAUCUAGCCAUGGGCAGGUUGAAGGUUGGGUAACACUAACUGGAGGACCGAACCGACUAAUGUUGAAAAAUUAGCGGAUGACUUGUGGCUGGGGGUGAAAGGCCAAUCAAACCGGGAGAUAGCUGGUUCUCCCCGAAAGCUAUUUAGGUAGCGCCUCGUGAAUUCAUCUCCGGGGGUAGAGCACUGUUUCGGCAAGGGGGUCAUCCCGACUUACCAACCCGAUGCAAACUGCGAAUACCGGAGAAUGUUAUCACGGGAGACACACGGCGGGUGCUAACGUCCGUCGUGAAGAGGGAAACAACCCAGACCGCCAGCUAAGGUCCCAAAGUCAUGGUUAAGUGGGAAACGAUGUGGGAAGGCCCAGACAGCCAGGAUGUUGGCUUAGAAGCAGCCAUCAUUUAAAGAAAGCGUAAUAGCUCACUGGUCGAGUCGGCCUGCGCGGAAGAUGUAACGGGGCUAAACCAUGCAC